CGUGCUAUCAAUCUUGAUCUCCAGAGAUUCAGGCUAAGCCAUAUUUCGCAAAUCUGCAGAUUGCUAACAUUACUGGCUUCAACGAACUCUUCAACCAUGCCCAAGUAGUCCAUUCACCAUUUCACCUUCAUUCGCUUUCGCUAUCAGUUUGCUUUGGCUCCCUGUUUCACCUUAACGCUGAAACAAUCAUUUAACACCAUUUUCCUUCAAUCAAAUAUACUACUACAAGAUUUGGUGAAACCCAGCUCCUCUCAAACAACCAAACCCUUCAAUAACUACACAAACCCUUUUAUUCAGAUGCUAUUCGUUACAAUUUUGAGUUUUCAUCUCAAUUGGUAAGUGACAUGGAUACAAAUCCGGCGGAGUCUCAGAAGCAACAACAGAUCUCAAAAAGGGAAGAAGGUGUGGAAGAAACGCUCCCUCAAAACGAUUUUCCAAUCCCUAGAUGUCUGAACCUCAGUUCCCUCCCA
Molecule: long non-coding RNA, 470 nt
Organism: Salvia splendens (bonfire salvia)
Lineage: Eukaryota; Viridiplantae; Streptophyta; Magnoliopsida; Lamiales; Lamiaceae
Exons: 3
Source: RefSeq, a predicted model, not a curated record